UUUCUUGCAUUUUUUGUCAUAUAUAUUAAAAUCGAAUUGCUACUUAAUGUAGAGAUAAUGCUGAAUACCGUUCGGAAUAGGUUUAUGGGACUGGGGGGCGGUACCCCACAUCUCCACCAAUAAAAAGCUAUGGGGAUGACAUAUGUUUCGACCUGAACAAUAAAAGUGCGGCGUGCAUUUGGGGUUGCUUCCAUAAAAGGCUGAUUAAAACGAGUGCUAAUGAUAACACUCAAUAUGCGAUGGCUGCCUAAUAAGCAAUAGUCAUCCGGGGGCCCGCCGGAGCCUUGCAACAGAAUCCGGCACU
RNAcentral lists this transfer-messenger RNA (304 nucleotides) under Rickettsiales bacterium. It matches the Rfam family "Alphaproteobacteria transfer-messenger RNA". From Rfam's summary of the family: Bacterial tmRNA, also known as 10Sa RNA or SsrA, is named for its dual tRNA and mRNA-like properties. Its role is to liberate the mRNA from a stalled ribosome. Lineage: Bacteria; Pseudomonadati; Pseudomonadota; Alphaproteobacteria; Rickettsiales. The record is from RNAcentral.